UGGGGAAUAUUGCACAAUGGGCGAAAGCCUGAUGCAGCAACGCCGCGUGAGUGAUGAAGGUCUUCGGAUUGUAAAGCUCUGUCUUUUGGGACGAUAAUGACGGUACCAAAGGAGGAAGCCACGGCUAACUACGUGCCAGCAGCCGCGGUAAUACGUAGGUGGCGAGCGUUGUCCGGAUUUACUGGGCGUAAAGGGUGCGUAGGGGGAUGUUUAAGUGAGAUGUGAAAUACCCGGGCUUAACUUGGGUGCUGCAUUUCAAACUGGAUAUCUAGAGUGCAGGAGAGGAGAAUGGAAUUCCUAGUGUAGCGGUGAAAUGCGUAGAGAUUAGGAAGAACACCAGUGGCG
This 345-nucleotide ribosomal RNA is filed under the name uncultured bacterium. RNAcentral's name for it is "partial 16S ribosomal RNA". It matches the Rfam family "Bacterial small subunit ribosomal RNA", at positions 355 to 717 of the family's 1533-position model. The record is from RNAcentral.